Long non-coding RNA from Psammomys obesus (fat sand rat), 142 nucleotides. RefSeq lists it as uncharacterized. The transcript has 3 exons. The record is from RefSeq and is a predicted model, not a curated record. NCBI's taxonomy places the organism in Eukaryota, Metazoa, Chordata, Mammalia, Rodentia, Muridae.
AAAUGGCUUACUCCUUGUUCUCUUAUAAAUAGGCAGACAGGAAGCUGUUUUCCCAUCCAGGAGGAACAAGGCCUUGGGACUGUGCAGUGCCGUGUGGAAGGCGAUUACAUUGGUUCCCAGAAUGUUAGUUUCUCAGUAUUUA